AUUGAACGCUGGCGGCAUGCCUUACACAUGCAAGUCGAACGGCAGCGCGGGGCAACCUGGCGGCGAGUGGCGAACGGGUGAGUAAUAUAUCGGAACGUGCCCUGGAGUGGGGGAUAACGUAGCGAAAGUUACGCUAAUACCGCAUACGAUCUGAGGAUGAAAGCAGGGGACCUUCGGGCCUUGUGCUCCUGGAGCGGCCGAUAUCUGAUUAGCUAGUUGGGUAGGGUAAAACGCCUACCGAAGGCGACGAUCAGUAGCUAGUCUGAGAGGACGACCAGCCACACUGGAACUGAGACA
Molecule: ribosomal RNA, 297 nt
Filed under: uncultured bacterium
Lineage: Bacteria
Description: partial 16S ribosomal RNA
Rfam family: Bacterial small subunit ribosomal RNA
Source: RNAcentral